Molecule: ribosomal RNA, 500 nt
Filed under: uncultured bacterium
Lineage: Bacteria
Description: partial 16S ribosomal RNA
Rfam family: Bacterial small subunit ribosomal RNA
Source: RNAcentral
AUUGAACGCUGGCGGCAUGCUUUACACAUGCAAGUCGAACGGUAACAGGGUGCUUGCACCGCUGACGAGUGGCGAACGGGUGAGUAAUGCGUCGGAACGUGCCGAGUAGUGGGGGAUAACGCAGCGAAAGUUGUGCUAAUACCGCAUACGUACUGAGGUAGAAAGUGGGGGACCUUCGGGCCUCACGCUAUUCGAGCGGCCGACGUCUGAUUAGCUAGUAGGUGAGGUAAAGGCUCACCUAGGCGACGAUCAGUAGCGGGUCUGAGAGGAUGAUGCGCCACACUGGGACGGAGACACGGCCCAGACUGCUAGGGGGGGCAGCAGUGGGGAAUGUUGGACAAUGGGCGAAAGCCUGAGCCAGCCAUGCCGCGUGUCUGAAGAAGGCCGUCGGGUUGUAAAGGACUUUUGUCGGGGAGGAAAUCCCUAGCGUUAAUACCGCUGGGGGAUGACAGUACCUGAAAAAUAAGCACCGGCUAACUACGUGCCAGCAGCCGCCGUAA